CGGCCUCCGAGAAGAGCAGGGCUGCAGCUCCUCACUGCGUCAGGCGGAGAGCCCUGCCCGUGCAGGCGGCGCCGGGCAGCUCUGCCAGGCCCGGGGGUCUCCCAGCGGCUCGGCGCGGCUCGGUUCGGUUCGGCUCGGGACCCAGGCGAGGAGCGCGACGCGGAGCGGUUCGGUUCGGCCUAGCACGAUCCGGUCCGGUUUGGUUCGCACUGUGCUUCAUGACAUCCCAGAGUGUCCCCAAAACCCAGCAAGUCUUUUGUGCAGCCCUGCAGAGACGUGGCAGUGGAGAAGGAGAAGUGUACAACCAGGAAACUGAAUAGCAUCACUGGCAGAGACCGUCCUCUCCCCAGAUAGCUGAGAGUGUCGAAUAUCUGAGAAGCCCAAUGGCUUUGGCACGGUGGGAUGGAACCAACCUAAGCAUUCGGUCUCAGCCCAUGGAGCCCAUUGAGGCAGGGCUGAUGGAGACCCAGACCUCCUGCACCUCCAAGAGGUUUAUGUGGCAGUAAUCUAACGACUGGGUCACGUGGAGCCGGGUCGCAGAUUUAUCACCGCGUACUUGAAGAUCACAGGCUAUGGAAAUGAUUGCUGUGCUGGCUGGAAUACAUUAUGCAAAGCAAUGCGUUAUCUGGAAGCCUGCACUGCGCGCGCACACUUCGGUGAUCUAUCUAUCGCUUCCCAUGCAGAUGUUCUGCUGCAAAGAUGUUCUAAUUAAUAUAUUGAAAAUACAUUUCCUGCUUUGUCUGCUCCGGAGAUGAGCAGAGAAAACAGCAUCGAUGGGGGGAAAAGCCCCCGCCAUGAAAGGAGUGAUAAAGAGAAAGGAAGGGACUUCAAGGCAGUUGAAACAAGUGGAGUGUGAACUGUGGCCCAGCUCAUGCCCAGGGCAAGUGAUGGGGCUGAUGCUGGUCCAACUCUCCUGAUGGCAUCACAGAGCCUUAGCAGCAGCUGCAGCUCCUCAAUCCUCCUGCUGCCCUCCUGUCAGGAUAGCCCUUCUCUCCCUCCAUCUAUUUAGAAGUUGGACUUCAGAAUCCUUACAGGUCCUUUAUCCAUGACAAUCUCCCAUACAGAGCAGCCAUAGACCACAACAUCUGCUCCAUGAGGUGCAGCCCAUGAUCUAUUCCUCCCUGUGAGGCUGUAGGCAUUACAGCGGGCAUCAUCCAUCCCAUCGCAAGGAGACAGCUUACACCAUCUGCCCCGAGUAGCUGCAGAGACCCACAGAAGGAUGGGAGAUGAGGUGGGCAAGGCACAGACCCAACAGUGGGACACAGCCAGGCACCUCCAUCCUGCCUCAUAGGGGCAGUGAGAACCGGAACCCUGCAGUGAACACCAUCAGUCACAGAGGGCUCAGGCUUCACACUGGGAGAAACCCAGAUCAAUCCCCUGGAGAAGAAGAGAUGUGAAAUUAGCCUUGCCAGGCUGGGGAGUGCUUUUAAAUUGCAGCAGAAGUGGUUGAGAGAUAGCUCUGCUCUCCACAGGAACUUCUCCCCAUCCUUGGGAUUUAAGCCUGUUAAUAGUGGAGCAUGAUGAUAUUAUCUGUUUGUAUUGCACUUUUUAUCACAGACGGCUCCCAGGGUGAUUUGCUAUCAUGCCCUCUGAGAGCUGCUGAAACACAGGAGCUGCAGGAAGCAUCAGUGAUGCAGCCACCAUCUCGGUAAUAGCAGAGCAGGAGGAAUGGAGCAAAAGCCCUUUGCCAGGUGGGAAAUGCUGCACUCCUCAGCUUCCUGCUGCUUCCCAGAGGCUUCGGUGCUGGCAUCCAUUCUCCAGCUCCCAGCCUGGAAAGGGGCAGGUUAAUGGGGCACAGAGCUCUGGUGGGAAGAAGGGGCUCUGCUGUUUGAGCAGCAACUGAUGGAAGAGUCCAUGCUCUUGCAGGCUUGAAGCUCAACCCCCAUGUAAUCCCUCCAGAGACCCUGGGUCUGCAGAAUGAGUCCAGGCCACCCCAGGGAGCAUCCCAUGGGUUGCCAGGCAGCGUGGGGCCGGGAGGAGUGCAGCUGGUGUGUGUGUGGCUGUCCUUGCCAGGAGGACCAGCACCGACAGUGACAGCAUCUGCAAGCACCACCUGGGCACCGAGCUGGGGCUGCACUGAGCAUCACCUAGCGAUGCAUGCAGGCAGGACGAGCAUUUGUGAGCUCUCCUUCCAGCCAGGAUGGACGAUUGGCAGAACCAUCCCUUUCCCUAAGAGCCAAUGCCUCACCCGAUUUACUCACCUGGAGCACGUGCUCAGACCUCCAGGAGCUGUGUGGGAGGAGACAGCUGGGUGCUGUGCAACAAACAUUCAGCAGAGCUGCAGAGUGCUUCCACUCCCAGCUCCACCACCCCCUGAUUGACACCCUGUAAUAAAGAGAUUUACCACAUAAUUAUUGCGCAUUUGGGAUGCGGCGCCAUUCUUUUUCUUUUUUUCUUUUUCUUUUUUUUUUAACCUGGUGACAGCUUUAAACAGCAGUUAAAGUGUGUGUUUAUAUUAACGUCAUUAGGUAUUUUUGUGUAUUUAACCGAAAAGGCUUCUCCUCAGAACGAUGGCAUGGUAAACAACAGCUCAGUUGUCUUCUAUAGACAUUGCUACCUUUACUUUCAGAUCAACUAUUUAAGUGAAUGGGAGGGAAGGAUCUGAGCCUGGAUUGAUGUGUUUCUGUCCUGGUCCCACCAGCAAAAAUGUUAAACUGAGCUUAGAACAAAUGAGAGAGGGAGCCUGGCAUUUACUGGUGGGGAGAAGUGGUAAUAAAUGAUGGCUUUUAUCAAGAAAUAUUACCUAGAAAGUGUAUUCCU
Long non-coding RNA from Lagopus muta (rock ptarmigan), 2760 nucleotides. RefSeq lists it as uncharacterized. The record is from RefSeq and is a predicted model, not a curated record. Lineage: Eukaryota; Metazoa; Chordata; Aves; Galliformes; Phasianidae. The transcript has 3 exons.